CCUACGGGAGACAGCAGUGAGGAAUAUUGGUCAAUGGCCGGAAGGCUGAACCAGCCAUGCCGCGUGAAUGUCAGUGCCCUAUGGGCGUUAAACUUCUUUUGUGCGGGAGCAAUAAUGGUCACGUGUGGCCAGACGAGAGUACCGUACGAAUAAGCAUCGGCGCACUCCGUGCCAGCAGCAGCGGCAAUAUGGGGGAUGCAAGCGUUAUCCGGAUUUAUGGGGUUUAAAGGGUGCGUAGGCUGGGAGGUAAGUCAGAGGUGAAAUGCCCCCGCUCAACGGGGUGAAGUGCCAUUGAUACUGCCUUGCUGGAGUGCGGAUGCGGUGGGAGGAAUGUGUGGUGUAGCGGUGAAAUGCAUAGAGAUCAGACAGAACACCGAUUGCGAAGGCAGCUCACGAAUCCGCGAUUGACGCUGAUGCACGAAAGCGUGGGUAUCAAACAGGAUUAGAUACCCCAGUAGUC
Molecule: ribosomal RNA, 460 nt
Filed under: uncultured bacterium
Lineage: Bacteria
Description: partial 16S ribosomal RNA
Rfam family: Bacterial small subunit ribosomal RNA
Source: RNAcentral